RNAcentral lists this long non-coding RNA (1609 nucleotides) under Sus scrofa (pig). RNAcentral's name for it is "lncRNA (ENSSSCG00030066563.1)". Lineage: Eukaryota; Metazoa; Chordata; Mammalia; Artiodactyla; Suidae. The record is from RNAcentral.
GUUUUCGGUUUGCUUUAUUUCACAGGUUUGCAGAACACACUCAGCUCAGUGUCUUGCGGUACUUGCUUUGUCCAUUUCUUGUGUAUUUUUAUCGUGUUUGAUGUUCCCUCUUGGAACUGCCUUCAGUUUCCUGGAAGUUUCUCAUCGUUGCAGGUCUCCAAAGCGUCUUCAGACUGACUCAGAAAUUCAUCAAAACCAGUUUCAUCCAAUGUGUGGGCACAUCACGGAUGUAUACUUUUAAGUCUUUUAAAAAUAUUUUCUAUGAUAUUUUUAAUAUUCUGAAAAUUUACAUAUGAUCGAUGUUCUUGUUUCAGCUUCUUGGUUAAGUUUGGUUUUGUUUCUGACUUUGUCUGCAGCCUGAGGAAGCUCCCGGGUCAGGGAUUGAACCCGAGCCACAGCAGCAGCGACCUGAGCCCCUGCAGUGACAACACUGGAUCCUUCGCCUGUUGCACCACAAGAGAACCCCUAAGGGUUUCUGGUUUGGGGAGAGGAAUUAAAGAAACAGUCAUUCCGACUGUUGCUUUGACAACUUACUGAUGGGGUGAUUUUUGUUUGUUAAUGCAGAGCAGGAAACGCCCGGCUCGAGGAAGCACCAGUUUCCAAGGACAGACGUGGCAGGCGCAUCCGGGGCGGCCUUGCCUGAAUCUCCCUGUGGAGUGUGGGCAAGUGUUUGUGAAAGGAAUGCGAAGAGCACAUGUAACCGCUUCAUGGUGAUCUUUUCUUUCCGAAAGUUUUGGCUUUUCCUCCUUCACCUUAGACUCCGUUCCUGAUUUUAUUGGCCUGGGGAGCAGGCACCUCACUUCUCAGCUGUAGUUCAGUGAAGACAACUACUUGCUCCCCAGUGGGCAGGCACGUCCCUCGCUGCAGCUCUGGUCCACACCUGCUGCUCCCGCGUCGCCAGCCAUUGGCGCUGCCCGUGUCUGCACCUCCCCAGGCUGUGCUCCUUGGCAUCCCCCCGCCACCUGCAGACCUUGCUCGUCACUCUGUGCCCCAAGGCCCUGUGCGGCCGGCCGAGCUCCCGCCUCCCACGCCUGGCCCCGGCCUCUGUGGGCGUUUGCUCCUGGACCCCGCCAGCCCAUCAGCAUGCUUGGCCCGGCAGCUCCCCGGCCUGGGGCCUCCCCAGGCCCUUCCACCCAGCCCUCGCCCCCCAGGCCUGCGUCCAGCCGGCCUCCCCAUGAAGCUCUGCUAGUGAUGCCGCUUCCCGCUGGCCGCCCUGCAACCUUUAAGGUUCAUCGGGAGCCGCCGAGCCUCUCCUGACCUCACCCUCUGGCUCAGGGUUGCCCUGUGGUCCUCUGGGACCUGCAGACCAGCACCCGUGCCCAUCACCAUGGGCCCCCACGCCCCCCACACCUGGGCACCGUGCCUGCUCCUCACGGCUCCCCACGCAGCACCCUCAUCCCUGCGCUGCAGCAAAGGCCACACUUUCUGUGGUUUUCUGUGUGAAAUGCGCCUUCUUGAUCUCCUGUGAGGCAGUCUCAGGCCGAGAAGGCAAAGAAGGUCAUGUCCAAAACCCAGCACGGUGAUCUUGCAAGAGGCGGGAACGGAAAAAUUCAAGAAACAUUCUAAUCCAAUGUCUUUGAUUCUUGGGUUAAAAAAAAGAUUUCAUAAG